Molecule: non-coding RNA, 2078 nt
Organism: Odocoileus virginianus texanus
Lineage: Eukaryota; Metazoa; Chordata; Mammalia; Artiodactyla; Cervidae
Source: RefSeq, a predicted model, not a curated record
ACAUUUUCAGAUCUGGUAGCUCAGCGAGGCGAAAGAUUGGAAUUGUUAAUAGAUAAAACAGAAAAUCUUGUGGAUUCGUCUGUCACCUUCAAAACAACCAGCAGAAAUCUUGCCCGAGCCAUGUGCAUGAAGAAUCUCAAGCUCACUAUCAUCAUCAUCAUCAUAUCAGUUGUAUUCAUCUAUAUUAUUGUGUCACCUCUCUGUGGUGGAUUUACGUGGCCAAGCUGUGUGAAGAAAUAAAAAAGUUAUCAUUAACCAAGGAUAUGAGAGACCAAGGAGUUAAAAGCAAUCCGUGUAAUUCAGGCCUUUUAAUACUGAGAGAUGGUGUCUGCCAGUCUCUUCAACCUGCUUCUUUCUCUCUUUUUUGAAAUCUUGUUCCACACCUCCAGAUUUAUCUUUGUCCUGUCAACCUGUUUAUUUUAUUGCACUUCAGACUGAACCAUUUAUUGUAGCAGUAGCCUUAAAAAAAGCAUUGUGUUUCUUUGGUUUGUAAACUAGUGUCAUCUACUUGCAGAAACAUUUUGUUUGUAAUUGCACAAAGCUAUCACCAAGGUAGAAACCACCUGUCUUAUGAGCUGUUGGCUAAAAUUUGGAUGACCUUUGUGCACACAAAAGUUGAAAAGACUGAUAGUGUUGCUAACAGCUUGUCUCAAUGUCUUUUGAUUUUGAAGGGUUUUAGGUGCUUGAAAACAAUGUUCAUGGAGAAUUGUUGUUAUUUGGGGAAUUGUAAUGCAAUUAUUGGUGUUUCAAGGAACCCAAGCAGGUAAAAUAUUGAUAUUAAACAGUUUAUCUCAGUCAGAAGGGGAAUGUUUUGCUAGCCUGUUAGAAGCACACAGAAUUAUCCUUAUCUCCAUAUUACUAACUUUUAGGAAGAGAGUUUUGAUCAUUCACAAACUUCACAAAGCUUGAUAUCCUCUCUUUCCCUGUUGCAGUUGAUUUCAGAAGAUGGUGGUUUAAAUAUUGUUGAAGGCUAGGGUUUAUUAUAUAUUCCUUUUCCUUUGGUGGAUGUUUAGGGCAAUUGUAUAGAUAAUAGAAUGGGCAAUAGAGGGCUUGAGUAGGCGCAUUCCUCUGAUUCACCAAAGAAAAAGAAGAGAACCAUAGCCAACGUGUUAACAUUUUCGCUUUAUGAAGGGAGGUAGUGCAGGAGAACUUUUUCAGCCUGGGAAAAGCCCAGGCUGAAUAUAAUCAAUGAUCAGUUCCGGGGUUUGGGUUUAACUGGUGUUGAACAAUAGUUUGAACAUCCUUUGUGGUUUAGUAAGUUCUUUAACCUGCCUAGUUUUGAAGAUUAUUUUUUGUGUAACUUAAGAGUAGACAGUAUGAUAUCUAGAAACAAUGUAAAGACAUUUUAGCUAACAUCCAUGUAACUGCAGUGUGAAAAAAACUGGAAUGUAAUCAUACUGCUUUGGCUACUCUGGCAUCUGUUAGCUAGUGUGUACUUUUGGUGUGUAUCUGAAAGGACAACAUUUGCUCUGUAGAUCUAAUUGCAUUUAUUUCUCAAUAAAGGCCAGUAAAUGGAAAUUAUAUUACAUUUGACUGUUUUCCCAAUGAAAGAACAAAUUUGUCUAUGAAACCUAGCCACCUGUUUAGCCUAGUCAUGUGCCUUGAAUAUAUAUAUAUAUAUAUAUAUAUAUAUAUAUAUGUCACAUAAUCUGGAUCCUGCUACCUGUUCUUCCAUCUAAACCUUUCAGUUCAUGCUGAUUCCUUUAUUUGACAUAAUGUUUUCAACCCACUGGAACCCUUUUCCUUGUGAUCAUGUAUAAUGGAAAUGUUUUUUCAGUUCUCUUGAUCAACACUAAUGUAUUUUCAUUCCAUUAGCAUUUUGUAUUGGAAAGCAUUUGUUCCAUGAAAACAUUUGGCGUUCUUAAUUUCAAAAUGUCUUUAAUUCAACGAAAAAGACUGAAAGCUCAUUUCCCUUUCUUAUACACACCUGAAUAAAAAUGAUGUGCAUGUUUCAGGGAUAAAUUCCUUAACCAUCUCUUGGUCUAUUUAUGUAUAGGAAUGCUUUUUGAAGCACAUACCUUAUUUUAAAUGAUGCACAAACUGAAGACAUUAAUAAAAAUUUAAGAGUAAUACAAUGA